UUUGAUCAUGGCUCAAAUUGAACGCUGGCGGCAGGCUUACCACAUGCAAGUCGAACGGUAACAUAAAAAAGCUUGCUUCUUUGAUGACAAGUGGCGAACGGGUGAGUAAUGCUUGGAAAUCUAGCUUAUGGAGGGGGAUAACUACGGGAAACUGUAGCUAAUACCGCGUAAUAUCAAAAGAUUAAAGUGUGGGACCUUCGGGCCACAUGCCAUAGGAUGAGCCCAAGUGGGAUUAGGUAGUUGGUGAGGUAAAGGCUCACCAAGCCAACAAUCUCUAGCUGGUCUGAGAGGAUGACCAGCCACACUGGGACUGAGACACGGCCCAAACUCCUACGGGAGGCAGCAGUG
Molecule: ribosomal RNA, 348 nt
Filed under: uncultured bacterium
Lineage: Bacteria
Description: bacterial SSU rRNA
Rfam family: Bacterial small subunit ribosomal RNA
Source: RNAcentral